ACACGCAUGACACACUGCAUAUCAAUAAGCGGAGGAAAAGAAACUAACAAGGAUUCCCUUAGUAACGGCGAGUGAAGCGGGAAGAGCUCAAAUUUGAAAUCUUCAAGGUUUUACCUUGACGAAUUGUAGUUUAAAGAAGUGUUUUCUGUUGGAGUUUUGGUAAAAGUUCUUUGGAAUAGGACAUCAUAGAGGGUGAGAAUCCCGUAUUUGGUCAUUCUUUCUAGCUUUGUGAUACACUUUCAACGAGUCGGAUUGUUUGGGAAUGCAGUCCAAAAUGGGUGGUAAAUUUCAUCUAAAGCUAAAUAUUGGCGAGAGACCGAUAGCGAACAAGUACCGUGAGGGAAAGAUGAAAAGAACUUUGAAAAGAGAGUUAAACAGUACGUGAAAUUGUCAAAAGGGAAGCGUUUGACACCAGUGUUGUUUUUCCGAAAAUCAAUUACGAAUGUUUUGUUUUUGAGAAGUUAUGACUUCAUCGGCUUGCUUCUCUCUUUAUGAAACUUUCUUAAUGCACUUUUCGGUUAACAAGUCAACAUCAAUUUCUUUUGUUGUAAAAGGGUCAUUGAGGAAGGUGGCUUUCCUUUUCGGAGAAAGUGUUUAUAGCCUUUGAUCUCUGCAACCGGAGAGACUGAGGUCUGCAGCGUAGACUCUUCGGGGUUAAAUACAUUUGUGCUAAGCUAUAGCUUUUUAUAGACAACUUGUUGACUAUAUUUAGUCUUGUGGCUUACUCGCUUAUGCUAUUUUACCUACGCUUAGGAUGUUGAGCGCAUGUCUCUCUCU
This 777-nucleotide ribosomal RNA is filed under the name uncultured Neocallimastigales. Its description in RNAcentral is "partial large subunit ribosomal RNA". It matches the Rfam family "Eukaryotic large subunit ribosomal RNA", at positions 23 to 637 of the family's 3401-position model. Lineage: Eukaryota; Fungi; Neocallimastigomycota; Neocallimastigomycetes; Neocallimastigales. The record is from RNAcentral.